GCUUGUGGCCACACCGCCUGGUUCACGCCCGAUCUCGUUUGAUCUCGGAACCUAAGAUAGGGUGGGCCAGGUUAGUACUUGAUGGGAGACCGCCUGGGAAUACCAGGUGCUGUAACGC
Molecule: ribosomal RNA, 118 nt
Filed under: Scophthalmus maximus (turbot)
Lineage: Eukaryota; Metazoa; Chordata; Actinopteri; Pleuronectiformes; Scophthalmidae
Source: RNAcentral